CAGGAAGCAGCUUGCUGCUUUGCUGACAAGUGGCGGACGGGUGAGUAAUGUCUGGGAAACUGCCUGAUGGAGGGGGAUAACUACUGGAAACGGUAGCUAAUACCGCAUAACGUCGCAAGACCAAAGAGGGGGACCUUCGGGCCUCUUGCCAUCGGAUGUGCCCAGAUGGGAUUAGCUAGUAGGUGGGGUAACGGCUCACCUAGGCGACGAUCCCUAGCUGGUCUGAGAGGAUGACCAGCCACACUGGAACUGAGACACGGUCCAGACUCCUACGGGAGGCAGCAGUGGGGAAUAUUGCACAAUGGGCGCAAGCCUGAUGCAGCCAUGCCGCGUGUAUGAAGAAGGCCUUCGGGUUGUAAAGUACUUUCAGCGGGGAGGAAGGCGAUGAGGUUAAUAACCUCGUCGAUUGACGUUACCCGCAGAAGAAGCACCGGCUAACUCCGUGCCAGCAGCCGCGGUAAUACGGAGGGUGCAAGCGUUAAUCGGAAUUACUGGGCGUAAAGCGCACGCAGGCGGUCUGUCAAGUCGGAUGUGAAAUCCCCGGGCUCAACCUGGGAACUGCAUUCGAAACUGGCAGGCUAGAGUCUUGUAGAGGGGGGGUAGAAUUCCAGGUGUAGCGGUGAAAAUGCGUAGAGAUCUGGAGGAAUACCGGUGGCGAAGGCGGCCCCCUGGACAAAAGACUGACGCUCAGGUGCGAAAAGCGUGGGGAGCAAAACAGGAUUUAGAUACCCUGGGUAGUCCACGCCCUAAAACGAUGGCCAACUUGGGAAGGUUGUGCCCUUUGAAGGCGUGGCCUUCCGGGAGCUAAACGCCGUUAAAGUCCGACCCGCCCUGGGGGGAGUAACGGGCCCGCAAAGGGUUAAAAACCUCCAAAAUGGAAAUUUGGACCGGGGGGGCCCCC
RNAcentral lists this ribosomal RNA (901 nucleotides) under Enterobacter sp. TUTDAIAP2A1. RNAcentral describes it as "bacterial SSU rRNA". It matches the Rfam family "Bacterial small subunit ribosomal RNA", at positions 70 to 873 of the family's 1533-position model. The record is from RNAcentral. Lineage: Bacteria; Pseudomonadati; Pseudomonadota; Gammaproteobacteria; Enterobacterales; Enterobacteriaceae.